GAUGAACGCUGGCGGCGUGCCUAAUACAUGCAAGUCGAGCGAACGGACGAGAAGCUUGCUUCUCUGAUGUUAGCGGCGGACGGGUGAGUAACACGUGGAUAACCUACCUAUAAGACUGGGAUAACUUCGGGAAACCGGAGCUAAUACCGGAUAAUAUUUUGAACCGCAUGGUUCAAAAGUGAAAGACGGUCUUGCUGUCACUUAUAGAUGGAUCCGCGCUGCAUUAGCUAGUUGGUAAGGUAACGGCUUACCAAGGCAACGAUGCAUAGCCGACCUGAGAGGGUGAUCGGCCACACUGGAACUGAGACACGGUCCAGACUCCUACGGGAGGCAGCAGUAGGGAAUCUUCCGCAAUGGGCGAAAGCCUGACGGAGCAACGCCGCGUGAGUGAUGAAGGUCUUCGGAUCGUAAAACUCUGUUAUUAGGGAAGAACAUAUGUGUAAGUAACUGUGCACAUCUUGACGGUACCUAAUCAGAAAGCCACGGCUAACUACGUGCCAGCAGCCGCGGUAAUACGUAGGUGGCAAGCGUUAUCCGGAAUUAUUGGGCGUAAAGCGCGCGUAGGCGGUUUUUUAAGUCUGAUGUGAAAGCCCACGGCUCAACCGUGGAGGGUCAUUGGAAACUGGAAAACUUGAGUGCAGAAGAGGAAAGUGGAAUUCCAUGUGUAGCGGUGAAAUGCGCAGAGAUAUGGAGGAACACCAGUGGCGAAGGCGACUUUCUGGUCUGUAACUGACGCUGAUGUGCGAAAGCGUGGGGAUCAAACAGGAUUAGAUACCCUGGUAGUCCACGCCGUAAACGAUGAGUGCUAAGUGUUAAGGGGUUUCCGCCCCUUAGUGCUGCAGCUAACGCAUUAAGCACUCCGCCUGGGGAGUACGACCGCAAGGUUGAAACUCAAAGGAAUUGACGGGGACCCGCACAAGCGGUGGAGCAUGUGGUUUAAUUCGAAGCAACGCGAAGAACCUUACCAAAUCUUGACAUCCUUUGACAACUCUAGAGAUAGAGCCUUCCCCUUCGGGGGACAAAGUGACAGGUGGUGCAUGGUUGUCGUCAGCUCGUGUCGUGAGAUGUUGGGUUAAGUCCCGCAACGAGCGCAACCCUUAAGCUUAGUUGCCAUCAUUAAGUUGGGCACUCUAAGUUGACUGCCGGUGACAAACCGGAGGAAGGUGGGGAUGACGUCAAAUCAUCAUGCCCCUUAUGAUUUGGGCUACACACGUGCUACAAUGGACAAUACAAAGGGCAGCGAAACCGCGAGGUCAAGCAAAUCCCAUAAAGUUGUUCUCAGUUCGGAUUGUAGUCUGCAACUCGACUACAUGAAGCUGGAAUCGCUAGUAAUCGUAGAUCAGCAUGCUACGGUGAAUACGUUCCCGGGUCU
This 1372-nucleotide ribosomal RNA is filed under the name uncultured bacterium. RNAcentral describes it as "bacterial SSU rRNA". It matches the Rfam family "Bacterial small subunit ribosomal RNA", at positions 28 to 1381 of the family's 1533-position model. The record is from RNAcentral.